Molecule: ribosomal RNA, 2786 nt
Filed under: Escherichia coli
Lineage: Bacteria; Pseudomonadati; Pseudomonadota; Gammaproteobacteria; Enterobacterales; Enterobacteriaceae
Description: bacterial LSU rRNA
Rfam family: Bacterial large subunit ribosomal RNA
Source: RNAcentral
AGCGUACACGGUGGAUGCCCUGGCAGUCAGAGGCGAUGAAGGACGUGCUAAUCUGCGAUAAGCGUCGGUAAGGUGAUAUGAACCGUUAUAACCGGCGAUUUCCGAAUGGGGAAACCCAGUGUGAUUCGUCACACUAUCAUUAACUGAAUCCAUAGGUUAAUGAGGCGAACCGGGGGAACUGAAACAUCUAAGUACCCCGAGGAAAAGAAAUCAACCGAGAUUCCCCCAGUAGCGGCGAGCGAACGGGGAGCAGCCCAGAGCCUGAAUCAGUGUGUGUGUUAGUGGAAGCGUCUGGAAAGGCGUGCGAUACAGGGUGACAGCCCCGUACACAAAAAUGCACAUGCUGUGAGCUCGAUGAGUAGGGCGGGACACGUGGUAUCCUGUCUGAAUAUGGGGGGACCAUCCUCCAAGGCUAAAUACUCCUGACUGACCGAUAGUGAACCAGUACCGUGAGGGAAAGGCGAAAAGAACCCCGGCGAGGGGAGUGAAAAAGAACCUGAAACCGUGUACGUACAAGCAGUGGGAGCACGCUUAGGCGUGUGACUGCGUACCUUUUGUAUAAUGGGUCAGCGACUUAUAUUCUGUAGCAAGGUUAACCGAAUAGGGGAGCCGAAGGGAAACCGAGUCUUAACUGGGCGUUAAGUUGCAGGGUAUAGACCCGAAACCCGGUGAUCUAGCCAUGGGCAGGUUGAAGGUUGGGUAACACUAACUGGAGGACCGAACCGACUAAUGUUGAAAAAUUAGCGGAUGACUUGUGGCUGGGGGUGAAAGGCCAAUCAAACCGGGAGAUAGCUGGUUCUCCCCGAAAGCUAUUUAGGUAGCGCCUCGUGAAUUCAUCUCCGGGGGUAGAGCACUGUUUCGGCAAGGGGGUCAUCCCGACUUACCAACCCGAUGCAAACUGCGAAUACCGGAGAAUGUUAUCACGGGAGACACACGGCGGGUGCUAACGUCCGUCGUGAAGAGGGAAACAACCCAGACCGCCAGCUAAGGUCCCAAAGUCAUGGUUAAGUGGGAAACGAUGUGGGAAGGCCCAGACAGCCAGGAUGUUGGCUUAGAAGCAGCCAUCAUUUAAAGAAAGCGUAAUAGCUCACUGGUCGAGUCGGCCUGCGCGGAAGAUGUAACGGGGCUAAACCAUGCACCGAAGCUGCGGCAGCGACACUAUGUGUUGUUGGGUAGGGGAGCGUUCUGUAAGCCUGUGAAGGUGUACUGUGAGGUAUGCUGGAGGUAUCAGAAGUGCGAAUGCUGACAUAAGUAACGAUAAAGCGGGUGAAAAGCCCGCUCGCCGGAAGACCAAGGGUUCCUGUCCAACGUUAAUCGGGGCAGGGUGAGUCGACCCCUAAGGCGAGGCCGAAAGGCGUAGUCGAUGGGAAACAGGUUAAUAUUCCUGUACUUGGUGUUACUGCGAAGGGGGGACGGAGAAGGCUAUGUUGGCCGGGCGACGGUUGUCCCGGUUUAAGCGUGUAGGCUGGUUUUCCAGGCAAAUCCGGAAAAUCAAGGCUGAGGCGUGAUGACGAGGCACUACGGUGCUGAAGCAACAAAUGCCCUGCUUCCAGGAAAAGCCUCUAAGCAUCAGGUAACAUCAAAUCGUACCCCAAACCGACACAGGUGGUCAGGUAGAGAAUACCAAGGCGCUUGAGAGAACUCGGGUGAAGGAACUAGGCAAAAUGGUGCCGUAACUUCGGGAGAAGGCACGCUGAUAUGUAGGUGAAGUCCCUCGCGGAUGGAGCUGAAAUCAGUCGAAGAUACCAGCUGGCUGCAACUGUUUAUUAAAAACACAGCACUGUGCAAACACGAAAGUGGACGUAUACGGUGUGACGCCUGCCCGGUGCCGGAAGGUUAAUUGAUGGGGUCAGCGCAAGCGAAGCUCUUGAUCGAAGCCCCGGUAAACGGCGGCCGUAACUAUAACGGUCCUAAGGUAGCGAAAUUCCUUGUCGGGUAAGUUCCGACCUGCACGAAUGGCGUAAUGAUGGCCAGGCUGUCUCCACCCGAGACUCAGUGAAAUUGAACUCGCUGUGAAGAUGCAGUGUACCCGCGGCAAGACGGAAAGACCCCGUGAACCUUUACUAUAGCUUGACACUGAACAUUGAGCCUUGAUGUGUAGGAUAGGUGGGAGGCUUUGAAGUGUGGACGCCAGUCUGCAUGGAGCCGACCUUGAAAUACCACCCUUUAAUGUUUGAUGUUCUAACGUUGACCCGUGAUCCGGGUUGCGGACAGUGUCUGGUGGGUAGUUUGACUGGGGCGGUCUCCUCCUAAAGAGUAACGGAGGAGCACGAAGGUUGGCUAAUCCUGGUCGGACAUCAGGAGGUUAGUGCAAUGGCAUAAGCCAGCUUGACUGCGAGCGUGACGGCGCGAGCAGGUGCGAAAGCAGGUCAUAGUGAUCCGGUGGUUCUGAAUGGAAGGGCCAUCGCUCAACGGAUAAAAGGUACUCCGGGGAUAACAGGCUGAUACCGCCCAAGAGUUCAUAUCGACGGCGGUGUUUGGCACCUCGAUGUCGGCUCAUCACAUCCUGGGGCUGAAGUAGGUCCCAAGGGUAUGGCUGUUCGCCAUUUAAAGUGGUACGCGAGCUGGGUUUAGAACGUCGUGAGACAGUUCGGUCCCUAUCUGCCGUGGGCGCUGGAGAACUGAGGGGGGCUGCUCCUAGUACGAGAGGACCGGAGUGGACGCAUCACUGGUGUUCGGGUUGUCAUGCCAAUGGCACUGCCCGGUAGCUAAAUGCGGAAGAGAUAAGUGCUGAAAGCAUCUAAGCACGAAACUUGCCCCGAGAUGAGUUCUCCCUGACUCCUUGA